UUAAGUUAUUAAGGGCGCACGGUGGAUGCCUUGGCACUAGAAGCCGAUGAAGGACGUUACUAACGACGAUAUGCUUUGGGGAGCUGUAAGUAAGCUUUGAUCCAGAGAUUUCCGAAUGGGGAAACCCAGCAUGAGUUAUGUCAUGUUAUCGAUAUGUGAAUACAUAGCAUAUCAGAAGGCACACCCGGAGAACUGAAACAUCUUAGUACCCGGAGGAAGAGAAAGAAAAUUCGAUUCCCUUAGUAGCGGCGAGCGAAACGGGAAGAGCCCAAACCAAAAAGCUUGCUUGUUGGGGUUGUAGGACACUCUAUACGGAGUUACAAAGGACGACAUUAGACGAAUCAUCUGGAAAGAUGAAUCAAAGAAGGUAAUAAUCCUGUAGUCGAAAAUGUUGUCUCUCUUGAGUGGAUCCUGAGUACGACGGAGCACGUGAAAUUCCGUCGGAAUCUGGGAGGACCAUCUCCUAAGGCUAAAUACUCUCUAGUGACCGAUAGUGAACCAGUACCGUGAGGGAAAGGUGAAAAGCACCCCGGAAGGAGAGUGAAAUAGAACCUGAAACCGUGUGCUUACAAGUAGUCAGAGCCCGUUAAUGGGUGAUGGCGUGCCUUUUGUAGAAUGAACCGGCGAGUUACGAUUUGAUGCAAGGUUAAGCAGUAAAUGUGGAGCCGUAGCGAAAGCGAGUCUGAAUAGGGCGUUUAGUAUUUGGUCGUAGACCCGAAACCAGGUGAUCUACCCUUGGUCAGGUUGAAGUUCAGGUAACACUGAAUGGAGGACCGAACCGACUUACGUUGAAAAGUGAGCGGAUGAACUGAGGGUAGCGGAGAAAUUCCAAUCGAACCUGGAGAUAGCUGGUUCUCUCCGAAAUAGCUUUAGGGCUAGCCUCAAGUGAUGAUUAUUGGAGGUAGAGCACUGUUUGGACGAGGGGCCCCUCUCGGGUUACCGAAUUCAGACAAACUCCGAAUGCCAAUUAAUUUAACUUGGGAGUCAGAACAUGGGUGAUAAGGUCCGUGUUCGAAAGGGAAACAGCCCAGACCACCAGCUAAGGUCCCAAAAUAUAUGUUAAGUGGAAAAGGAUGUGGCGUUGCCCAGACAACUAGGAUGUUGGCUUAGAAGCAGCCAUCAUUUAAAGAGUGCGUAAUAGCUCACUAGUCGAGUGACACUGCGCCGAAAAUGUACCGGGGCUAAACAUAUUACCGAAGCUGUGGAUUGUCCUUUGGACAAUGGUAGGAGAGCGUUCUAAGGGCGUUGAAGCAUGAUCGUAAGGACAUGUGGAGCGCUUAGAAGUGAGAAUGCCGGUGUGAGUAGCGAAAGACGGGUGAGAAUCCCGUCCACCGAUUGACUAAGGUUUCCAGAGGAAGGCUCGUCCGCUCUGGGUUAGUCGGGUCCUAAGCUGAGGCCGACAGGCGUAGGCGAUGGAUAACAGGUUGAUAUUCCUGUACCACCUAUAAUCGUUUUAAUCGAUGGGGGGACGCAGUAGGAUAGGCGAAGCGUGCGAUUGGAUUGCACGUCUAAGCAGUAAGGCUGAGUAUUAGGCAAAUCCGGUACUCGUUAAGGCUGAGCUGUGAUGGGGAGAAGACAUUGAGUCUUCGAGUCGUUGAUUUCACACUGCCGAGAAAAGCCUCUAGAUAGAAAAUAGGUGCCCGUACCGCAAACCGACACAGGUAGUCAAGAUGAGAAUUCUAAGGUGAGCGAGCGAACUCUCGUUAAGGAACUCGGCAAAAUGACCCCGUAACUUCGGGAGAAGGGGUGCUCUUUAGGGUUAACGCCCAGAAGAGCCGCAGUGAAUAGGCCCAAGCGACUGUUUAUCAAAAACACAGGUCUCUGCUAAACCGUAAGGUGAUGUAUAGGGGCUGACGCCUGCCCGGUGCUGGAAGGUUAAGAGGAGUGGUUAGCUUCUGCGAAGCUACGAAUCGAAGCCCCAGUAAACGGCGGCCGUAACUAUAACGGUCCUAAGGUAGCGAAAUUCCUUGUCGGGUAAGUUCCGACCCGCACGAAAGGCGUAACGAUUUGGGCACUGUCUCAACGAGAGACUCGGUGAAAUCAUAGUACCUGUGAAGAUGCAGGUUACCCGCGACAGGACGGAAAGACCCCGUGGAGCUUUACUGUAGCCUGAUAUUGAAAUUCGGCACAGCUUGUACAGGAUAGGUAGGAGCCUUUGAAACGUGAGCGCUAGCUUACGUGGAGGCGCUGGUGGGAUACUACCCUAGCUGUGUUGGCUUUCUAACCCGCACCACUUAUCGUGGUGGGAGACAGUGUCAAGCGGGCAGUUUGACUGGGGCGGUCGCCUCCUAAAAGGUAACGGAGGCGCUCAAAGGUUCCCUCAGAAUGGUUGGAAAUCAUUCAUAGAGUGUAAAGGCAUAAGGGAGCUUGACUGCGAGACCUACAAGUCGAGCAGGGUCGAAAGACGGACUUAGUGAUCCGGUGGUUCCGCAUGGAAGGGCCAUCGCUCAACGGAUAAAAGCUACCCCGGGGAUAACAGGCUUAUCUCCCCCAAGAGUUCACAUCGACGGGGAGGUUUGGCACCUCGAUGUCGGCUCAUCGCAUCCUGGGGCUGUAGUCGGUCCCAA
This 2567-nucleotide ribosomal RNA is filed under the name Staphylococcus aureus DAR1293. RNAcentral describes it as "bacterial LSU rRNA". It matches the Rfam family "Bacterial large subunit ribosomal RNA", at positions 3 to 2568 of the family's 2925-position model. Lineage: Bacteria; Bacillati; Bacillota; Bacilli; Caryophanales; Staphylococcaceae. The record is from RNAcentral.